UGCACUUCUCCCCUAGUAGGACGUCGCGACCCGUUGGGUGUCGGCCUACGGCUCGGUUGGUCGCCUGUCGCGCAAGCGUGCAAACGUUAACGCGGCAGAUCACCGGUCGCCCGGCCGGCUGCCCGGCGGUAUAGAACGCAUUAUCAUGGUAUUGAGCCGCACGCUUGUCUCGUGCGUCCUGGCUCGUCGGCAGGCUCGCCUCGCUCGGAUUUACGGACCUAGCGCCGUUGCCGGGUGCUUGGCGUGGCCGUUAGUCGACGAUGUCCUCGGACCGGCUCUUAAAUUCUCACAAUAUACCAGUCGGCGACGCUACUGCUUUGGGUACUUUCAGGACCCGUCUUGAAACACGGACCAAGGAGUCUAACAUGUGCGCGAGUCAUUGGGAUUGUUUGAAACCUAAAGGCGCAAUGAAAGUGAAGGUCGUCCUUAGCGUCGACCGAGGGAGGAUGGCUCGCGUCACGAUGCGAGCCCGCACUCCCGGGGCGUCUCGUGCUCAUCGCGAGCAGAGGCGCACCCAGAGCGUACACGUUGGGACCCGAAAGAUGGUGAACUAUGCCUGGUCAGGACGAAGUCAGGGGAAACCCUGAUGGAGGUCCGUAGCGAUUCUGACGUGCAAAUCGAUCGUCGGAACUGGGUAUAGGGGCGAAAGACUAAUCGAACCAUCUAGUAGCUGGUUCCCUCCGAAGUUUCCCUCAGGAUAGCUGGCACUCGCUUGAGCGAGUCUCAUCUGGUAAAGCGAAUGAUUAGAGGCCUUGGGGCCGAAACGACCUCAACCUAUUCUCAAACUUUAAAUGGGUGAGAUCUCUGGCUUGCUUGAACGUUGAAGCCACGAGAGCAUAAUGCAAUGGAUCAGAGUGCCAAGUGGGCCAAUUUUGGUAAGC
Molecule: ribosomal RNA, 881 nt
Filed under: Chrysochalcissa olivacea
Lineage: Eukaryota; Metazoa; Arthropoda; Insecta; Hymenoptera; Torymidae
Description: eukaryotic LSU rRNA
Rfam family: Eukaryotic large subunit ribosomal RNA
Source: RNAcentral